This is a long non-coding RNA of Myodes glareolus (Bank vole), 446 nucleotides long. RefSeq lists it as uncharacterized. NCBI's taxonomy places the organism in Eukaryota, Metazoa, Chordata, Mammalia, Rodentia, Cricetidae. The record is from RefSeq and is a predicted model, not a curated record.
UGCUGAGACAGAAUACUUUAAACACAUUACGUUUUCACUUGUCUCGAUCUGCUUAUUGCUAAAGUAUGCGCUAAUUGCAGACCCGGAACUGAGCCGUAGGAUAAAAAUCCGGAAGCGACAAACCCGCUUGCAAACUAGCAAAUUGCCAGUUUCUUCCCAGCUCUAUGGUUCGAGUGUGACCUUUCUAUACUCUGGAGGACUCAGAAAGCGUGACCAAUGAGCCGAUCGCUCUUGCGAACGUGACAAGAGAACUGGCUUCCUAUUGGUCGGUAUCGAAAAAGCCCGCCCAACAGCUUCCGGAAGCCUUCUUUAAGUUAAGGUCUCGCGACCAUUUCUGCCUCUUAGCGACGGGCAGACCAGCGAGCGCUGCCCAGUGAACGACAGCAGACAGCAUGGAGCUCCAGCCUUUCCUCCCCAAGCCUCAGAAUAAAGUGCUUUGACUCCAA